This 421-nucleotide ribosomal RNA is filed under the name uncultured bacterium. RNAcentral describes it as "bacterial SSU rRNA". It matches the Rfam family "Bacterial small subunit ribosomal RNA", at positions 355 to 774 of the family's 1533-position model. The record is from RNAcentral.
UAAGGAAUAUUGGUCAAUGGUCGCAAGUCUAAACCAGACAUGCCGCGUGAAGGAUGAAGGUCCUCUGGAUUGUAAACUUCUUUUAUCUGGGACGAAAACGGGAUUUUUAUCUCAAUUGACGGUACCAGAGGAAUAAGCACCGGCUAACUCCGUGCCAGCAGCCGCGGUAAUACGGAGGGUGCGAGCGUUAUCCGGAUUUACUGGGUUUAAAGGGUGCGUAGGUGGGCUUAUAAGUCAGUGGUGAAAUCUCCGAGCUUAACUUGGAAACUGCCGUUGAUACUAUAGGUCUUGAAUUAUCUGGAGGUAAGCGGAAUAUGUCAUGUAGCGGUGAAAUGCUUAGAUAUGACAUAGAACACCAAUUGCGAAGGCAGCUUACUACAUAUAAAUUGACGCUGAGGCACGAAAGCGUGGGGAUCAAACA